UACGUAGGUGGCGAGCGUUGUCCGGAUUUACUGGGCGUAAAGGGCGUGCAGGCGGUCUGCUAAGUCUAGGGUGAAAGCUCCCGGCUCAACUGGGAGAGGUCCUUGGAUACUGACAGACUUGAGGGAGGCAGAGGAGAAUGGAAUUCCCGGUGUAGCAGUGAAAUGCGUAGAUAUCGAGAGGAACACCAGUGGCGAAGGCGAGUCCCUGGACAAUACCUGACACUGAGGCACGAAAGCUAGGGGAGCAAACAGG
RNAcentral lists this ribosomal RNA (253 nucleotides) under uncultured bacterium. RNAcentral describes it as "partial 16S ribosomal RNA". It matches the Rfam family "Bacterial small subunit ribosomal RNA", at positions 524 to 776 of the family's 1533-position model. The record is from RNAcentral.